This 447-nucleotide ribosomal RNA is filed under the name uncultured bacterium. RNAcentral's name for it is "partial 16S ribosomal RNA". It matches the Rfam family "Bacterial small subunit ribosomal RNA", at positions 29 to 523 of the family's 1533-position model. The record is from RNAcentral.
AGCGAACGCUGGCGGCAGGCUUAACACAUGCAAGUCGAGCGCCCCACAAGGGGAGCGGCAGACGGGUGAGUAACACGUGGGAACGUGCCUUUUGGUUCGGAACAACCCAGGGAAACUUGGGCUAAUACCGGAUAAGCCCUUACGGGGAAAGAUUUAUCGCCAAAAGAUCGGCCCGCGUCUGAUUAGCUAGUUGGUGGGGUAAUGGCCCACCAAGGCUACGAUCAGUAGCUGGUCUGAGAGGAUGAUCAGCCACAUUGGGACUGAGACACGGCCCAAACUCCUACGGGAGGCAGCAGUGGGGAAUAUUGGACAAUGGGGGCAACCCUGAUCCAGCCAUGCCGCGUGAGUGAUGAAGGCCUUAGGGUUGUAAAGCUCUUUUAGCAGGGAAGAUAAUGACGGUACCUGCAGAAAAAGCCCCGGCUAACUUCGUGCCAGCCGCCGCCGUAA